This 521-nucleotide ribosomal RNA is filed under the name Serratia marcescens. RNAcentral's name for it is "bacterial SSU rRNA". It matches the Rfam family "Bacterial small subunit ribosomal RNA", at positions 78 to 592 of the family's 1533-position model. The record is from RNAcentral. Lineage: Bacteria; Pseudomonadati; Pseudomonadota; Gammaproteobacteria; Enterobacterales; Yersiniaceae.
GCUUGCUCCCUGGGUGACGAGCGGCGGACGGGUGAGUAAUGUCUGGGAAACUGCCUGAUGGAGGGGGAUAACUACUGGAAACGGUAGCUAAUACCGCAUAACGUCGCAAGACCAAAGAGGGGGACCUUCGGGCCUCUUGCCAUCAGAUGUGCCCAGAUGGGAUUAGCUAGUAGGUGGGGUAAUGGCUCACCUAGGCGACGAUCCCUAGCUGGUCUGAGAGGAUGACCAGCCACACUGGAACUGAGACACGGUCCAGACUCCUACGGGAGGCAGCAGUGGGGAAUAUUGCACAAUGGGCGCAAGCCUGAUGCAGCCAUGCCGCGUGUGUGAAGAAGGCCUUCGGGUUGUAAAGCACUUUCAGCGAGGAGGAAGGUGGUGAGCUUAAUACGCUCAUCAAUUGACGUUACUCGCAGAAGAAGCACCGGCUAACUCCGUGCCAGCAGCCGCGGUAAUACGGAGGGUGCAAGCGUUAAUCGGAAUUACUGGGCGUAAAGCGCACGCAGGCGGUUUGUUAAGUCAGA